Molecule: long non-coding RNA, 252 nt
Filed under: Brachypodium distachyon (stiff brome)
Lineage: Eukaryota; Viridiplantae; Streptophyta; Magnoliopsida; Poales; Poaceae
Description: long non-coding RNA (BDIS_LNC004742)
Source: RNAcentral
UUGUUUGGGUUACGGGCUUACAUUCCAACACGCUCUCACCGUGGUGUUGAUGUGCCCUUGUAUCUUUCGUUUUCCGCUGCUAAACAGUUGUUUUAUUUCCAGCUAACCCGUGAGGUUAUGCGAGUUGUAAGUACCUUUAAAUUCUGGAUGAUUCGUUGUAAUAUUGAGACCUUUGUUCUAUGAUAUUACAUCUUGAAACUGUGUGUGCUAGUGAGUCGAUCCAGGGACUAGCACUAAAGCACAGAGAUCGAA